This 253-nucleotide ribosomal RNA is filed under the name uncultured bacterium. Its description in RNAcentral is "partial 16S ribosomal RNA". It matches the Rfam family "Bacterial small subunit ribosomal RNA", at positions 524 to 776 of the family's 1533-position model. The record is from RNAcentral.
CACGUAGGGGCCAAGCGUUGUCCGGAUUUAUUGGGCGUAAAGAGCGUGUAGGCGGCCAUGUAGGUCCGUUGUGAAAACUCGAGGCUCAACCUCGAGACGCCGAUGGAAACCAUGUGGCUAGAGUCCGGAAGAGGAGAGUGGAAUUCCUGGUGUAGCGGUGAAAUGCGCAGAUAUCAGGAAGAACACCCGUGGCUAAGGCGGCUCUCUAGUACGGUACUGACGCUGAGACGCGAAAGCGUGGGGAGCGAACAGG